AUUGAACGCUGGCGGCAGGCCUAACACAUGCAAGUCGAACGGCAGCACAGAGAGCUUGCUCUCGGGUGACGAGUGGCGGACGGGUGAGUAAUGUCUGGGAAACUGCCCGAUGGAGGGGGAUAACUAAUGGAAACGGUAGCUAAUACCGCAUAACGUAGCAAGACCAAAGUGGGGGACCUUCGGGCCUAACACCAUAGGAUGUGCACAGAUGGGAUUAGCUAGUAGGUGGGGUAAUGGCUCACCUAGGCGACGAUCCCUAGCUGGGCUGCAAGGAUGACCAGCCACCCUGGAACUAAGACACGGUCCAGACUCCUACGGGAGGCAGCAGUUGGGAAUAUUGCACAAUGGGCGCAAUCCUGAUGCAGCCAUGCCGCGUGUAUGAAGAAGGCCUUCUGGUUGUAAAGUACUUUCAGCGGGGAGGAAGGCGGUGGAGUUAAUAACUUCACCGAUUGACGUUACCCGCAGAAGAAGCACCGGCUAACUCCGUGCCAGCCGCCGCGUAA
This 503-nucleotide ribosomal RNA is filed under the name uncultured bacterium. RNAcentral describes it as "partial 16S ribosomal RNA". It matches the Rfam family "Bacterial small subunit ribosomal RNA", at positions 30 to 522 of the family's 1533-position model. The record is from RNAcentral.